CACUGCCCGUCACACCACGAAAGCUGUCUGUACCCAAAAUCAUCUUAGCAAACCUGUAAAGGAUGCGGGUGCUUAAGGUGUGGGGAGUGAUUGGGGUG
This 98-nucleotide ribosomal RNA is filed under the name uncultured bacterium. RNAcentral's name for it is "partial 16S ribosomal RNA". The record is from RNAcentral.